This 253-nucleotide ribosomal RNA is filed under the name uncultured bacterium. RNAcentral describes it as "partial 16S ribosomal RNA". It matches the Rfam family "Bacterial small subunit ribosomal RNA", at positions 524 to 776 of the family's 1533-position model. The record is from RNAcentral.
UACGGAGGGGGCUAGCGUUGUUCGGAAUUACUGGGCGUAAAGCGCGCGUAGGCGGCUUUGUAAGUUAGAGGUGAAAGCCCAGGGCUCAACCCUGGAAUUGCCUUUAAGACUGCAUCGCUUGAACAUCGGAGAGGUAAGUGGAAUUCCGAGUGUAGAGGUGAAAUUCGUAGAUAUUCGGAAGAGCACCAGUGGCGAAGGCGACUUACUGGACGAUUGUUGACGCUGAGGUGCGAAAGCGUGGGGAGCAAACAGG